GCGCGCAAGCUAGCAGCAAACCAGAGGGACAGACAGAGAGACACUAGGAGAGAGACCCGGAGAAAGAGAAGCAGCCGAGCUCUGUAAGGGCUCAGCCUCCAACUUGUCUCAGUUCAUUUAUCCUUCUCUCCUCCACGCUUCGGGGAAGUGACUGUGGCGCUCGGUCUCUCCUAAGUUGGUGCCUAAGAAGAUGAUAAUCACACAAAUGAGUCACUACUACACGACCAGCCUUGGGAUUCUUUUCCUGAUUAAUAUUCUCCCUGAAACCAGUGGUCAAGGGGAAUCAAGACGACAAGAACCUGGGGAUUUUGUGAAGCAGGAUAUUGGCGGACUCUCUCCUAAGCAUGCCCCAGAUAUUCCUGAUGACAGCACCGACAACAUCACUAUCUUCACCAGAAUCUUGGAUCGUCUUCUGGAUGGCUAUGACAACCGGCUGAGACCUGGGC
This is a long non-coding RNA of Galeopterus variegatus (Sunda flying lemur), 446 nucleotides long. RefSeq lists it as uncharacterized. The record is from RefSeq and is a predicted model, not a curated record. The transcript has 3 exons. NCBI's taxonomy places the organism in Eukaryota, Metazoa, Chordata, Mammalia, Dermoptera, Cynocephalidae.